GACGAACGCUGGCGGCGUGCUUAACACAUGCAAGUCGAACGGUGAAGCGCCUUCCUUUUUGGUGGGUGUGGAUGAGUGGCGAACGGGUGAGUAACACGUGAGUAACCUGCCCCCUUCUUCUGGAUAACCGCAUGAAAGUGUGGCUAAUACGGGAUAUUCUGGGUCUGUCGCAUGAUGGGUCUGGGAAAGAUAUUGUUUCGGUGGGGGCUGGGCUCGCGGCCUAUCAGCUUGUUGGUGGGGUGAUGGCCUACCAAGGCGGUGACGGGUAGCCGGCCUGAGAGGGUGGACGGUCACACUGGGACUGAGGCACGGCCCGGACUCCUACGGGAGGCAGCAGUGGGGAAUAGUGCACAAUGGGCGCAAGCCUGAUGCAGCGACGCCGCGUGAGGGAUGGAGGCCUUCGGGUUGUGAACCUCUUUCGCCAGUGAAGCAGGCCUGCCUCGUUUGUGGGUGGGUUGACGGUAGCUGGAUAAGAAGCGCCGGCUAACUACGUG
RNAcentral lists this ribosomal RNA (494 nucleotides) under uncultured bacterium. Its description in RNAcentral is "partial 16S ribosomal RNA". It matches the Rfam family "Bacterial small subunit ribosomal RNA", at positions 28 to 507 of the family's 1533-position model. The record is from RNAcentral.